UCCCUGGUGGUUCAAACGGUAAAGUGUCUGCCUGCAAUGCAGGAAACCCAGGUUCGAUGCCUGGGUCGGGAA
Molecule: transfer RNA, 72 nt
Organism: Ovis aries (sheep)
Lineage: Eukaryota; Metazoa; Chordata; Mammalia; Artiodactyla; Bovidae
Rfam family: tRNA
About the family: Transfer RNA (tRNA) molecules are approximately 80 nucleotides in length. Their secondary structure includes four short double-helical elements and three loops (D, anti-codon, and T loops).
Source: Rfam